GGCUGGUCCCAUAUAACGGUGUUUACAACUAAUUGAUCAUAACUAGUUACAGAUUUCUUUGUUUCUUCUCCACUCCCACUGCUUCAUUUGACUAGCCCUAA
Molecule: unclassified non-coding RNA, 101 nt
Organism: Chlorocebus sabaeus (green monkey)
Lineage: Eukaryota; Metazoa; Chordata; Mammalia; Primates; Cercopithecidae
Rfam family: Y RNA
About the family: Y RNAs are components of the Ro ribonucleoprotein particle (Ro RNP), in association with Ro60 and La proteins. The Y RNAs and Ro60 and La proteins are well conserved, but the function of the Ro RNP is not known. In humans the RNA component can be one of four small RNAs -- hY1, hY3, hY4 and hY5.
Source: Ensembl